CCUACGGGAGGCAGCAGUGGGGAAUAUUGCGCAAUGGGCGAAAGCCUGACGCAGCGACGCCGCGUGAGGGAUGAAGGUCUUCGGAUCGUAAACCUCUGUCAGCAGGGAAGAACGGUCACUGUGCUAAUCAGCAGUGAAUUGACGGUACCUGCAAAGGAAGCACCGGCUAACUCCGUGCCAGCAGCCGCGGUAAUACGGAGGGUGCGAGCGUUAAUCGGAAUUACUGGGCGUAAAGCGCUCGUAGGCGGUAUGUCAAGUCAAGGGUGAAAUCCCCGCGCUCAGCGUGGGAACUGCGUUUGAAACUGGCAAACUGGAGUGUGUGAGAGGAUAGUGGAAUUCCAGGUGUAGCAGUGAAAUCCGUAGAUAUCUGGAGGAACAUCAGUGGCGAAGGCGACUAGCUGGAACAUAACUGACGCUGAGGAGCGAAAGCGUGGGUAGCAAACAGGAUUAGAUACCCCAGUAGUC
This 465-nucleotide ribosomal RNA is filed under the name uncultured bacterium. RNAcentral describes it as "partial 16S ribosomal RNA". It matches the Rfam family "Bacterial small subunit ribosomal RNA", at positions 338 to 795 of the family's 1533-position model. The record is from RNAcentral.